This 253-nucleotide ribosomal RNA is filed under the name uncultured bacterium. RNAcentral describes it as "partial 16S ribosomal RNA". It matches the Rfam family "Bacterial small subunit ribosomal RNA", at positions 524 to 776 of the family's 1533-position model. The record is from RNAcentral.
UACAGAGGUCUCAAGCGUUGUUCGGAUUCAUUGGGCGUAAAGGGUGCGUAGGCGGCGCGGUAAGUCGGGUGUGAAAUCUCGGAGCUUAACUCUGAAACUGCAUUCGAUACUGCCGUGCUUGAGGACUGGAGAGGAGACUGGAAUUUACGGUGUAGCGGUGAAAUGCGUAGAUAUCGUAAGGAAGACCAGUGGCGAAGGCGGGUCUCUGGACAGUUCCUGACGCUGAGGCACGAAGGUCAGGGGAGCAAACAGG